AAGUCGUAACAAGGUUUCCGUAGGUGAACCUGCGGAAGGAUCAUUAACACUAACAUUUGUGCUGGCCGUCGGUCGGUGAUCACUCAUCGAUCGUACGUGCCUCACAUUUACUAUCCACCCGUGGUUCUGUUCUGUACCUUCGCCGCAAGGUGAAGGCUUAUCCACUCGAUCGCUGAGAUUUUCCUUCGGGGACCAGUGGCAACGGUCGUCAACGCACCGACGUAUGCGUUGAUUGUUCGGAGCCGUAUAGGUUGAGUGGCCCAUAUUUUUAUUUACUCUGCAUAGAAUACCUGCACUGAUUUCAUAUGCCCACGAAAGUGUGCGUAUGUUAUUGACCUCGAGUCAAUAAACCACAUACAACUCGUAACAACGGAUAUCUCGGCUAAC
This 387-nucleotide unclassified non-coding RNA is filed under the name fungal sp. RNAcentral describes it as "partial internal transcribed spacer region". The stretch from base 1 to 46 matches the Rfam family "Eukaryotic small subunit ribosomal RNA", at positions 1786 to 1831 of the family's 1831-position model. Lineage: Eukaryota; Fungi. The record is from RNAcentral.